Molecule: non-coding RNA, 207 nt
Organism: Oryza glumipatula
Lineage: Eukaryota; Viridiplantae; Streptophyta; Magnoliopsida; Poales; Poaceae
Source: Rfam
UUUAAGUGCAACUAUGAGUUUUUGUGUGCAACGUUUGACCAUCCGUCUUAUUUAAUUUUUUUAGAUUAGUAUUUUCAUUGUUAUUAGAUGAUAAAAUAUGAAUAAUAUUUUAUGCGUGACUUUUUUUUAAUUUUUUUUCAUAAAUUUUCUAAAUAAGACGGACGUACGGUCAAAAGUUGAACACGAAAUUCCACAACCGCAGUUAAA